Linepithema humile (Argentine ant) is the source of this 326-nucleotide non-coding RNA. NCBI's taxonomy places the organism in Eukaryota, Metazoa, Arthropoda, Insecta, Hymenoptera, Formicidae. The record is from RefSeq and is a predicted model, not a curated record.
CCACAUGUAGUCGAUGUGAUUGAAUUUGAGGGAUGGCAGUCUAUAAUCAUCCACUAUAUUGGUCAGCAAAUCACGAAGAAUCUUCACAUCCUUGAAAAAUAGCACAAAAAUGCCAAUCAAAAAGAUAAAGGAAGUUAUUUAUAAAAUUAUAAUGAAGAAGAAAAAGAGAGUUAAAUUUCAGCAAUGAUAACAUAAAGAGCCCGACAGAAAGAAAGCAAGAAUGGCUUUUUAUCUCAGAUUGUAGCAAGCAAGUCAUUAUAAGCAUAAAUCAGCGCGAUCGGCACUGUGAUACGCGAUAAAUCGUAAUCGGGCGGUAUCGUCGCAUU